RNAcentral lists this long non-coding RNA (326 nucleotides) under Elaeis guineensis (African oil palm). Its description in RNAcentral is "long non-coding RNA (EGUI_LNC081851)". The record is from RNAcentral. Lineage: Eukaryota; Viridiplantae; Streptophyta; Magnoliopsida; Arecales; Arecaceae.
UACAGACAUGGUCUACGAUACAUAAUGAUAUUAGUUAUAUAAAUAUUUCAACAUAAAAAUUAAAAGUUAAUUAUGAAAGUUUAAGGAACAUACAAACUCCUGUCAGAGUCGUGCAUAACUCUUCGACCCCGAUGUAUGAGGAACAGACUGAGCUACUCGUGCAGCUCUACCAAUAGCAGAAUAAGUCUGUAAAAUAAAGUAAAAAAUUUAUUAUAUAUAUAAUAUAUAAUAUACAAUAUAAAUCAGUAUUUUUAUAAAAUAUUUAAAAGAAAAGAUAAUGAGCAGAUAAUAUACCUGUGUCCUCUCGGAAAACCAAUAAUGAACCA